UACGGAGGGGGCAAGCGUUAUCCGGAAUUACUGGGCGUAAAGCGCACGCAGGCGGUCUUUUAAGUUUGACGUGAAAGCUCCCGGCUUAACUGGGAGAGGGCGUUGAAUACUGGGAGACUUGAGGCAAUGAGAGGGGUGUAGCAUUCCUGGUGUAGUGGUGGAAUGCGUAGAUAUCAGGAGGAAUACCAGUGGCGAAAGCGGCACCCUAGCGUUGUUCUGACGCUCAUGCGCGAAAGCGUGGGGAGCAAACGGG
This 253-nucleotide ribosomal RNA is filed under the name uncultured bacterium. Its description in RNAcentral is "partial 16S ribosomal RNA". It matches the Rfam family "Bacterial small subunit ribosomal RNA", at positions 524 to 776 of the family's 1533-position model. The record is from RNAcentral.